This 253-nucleotide ribosomal RNA is filed under the name uncultured bacterium. RNAcentral's name for it is "partial 16S ribosomal RNA". It matches the Rfam family "Bacterial small subunit ribosomal RNA", at positions 524 to 776 of the family's 1533-position model. The record is from RNAcentral.
UACGAAGGGGGCUAGCGUUGUUCGGAAUUACUGGGCGUAAAGCGCGCGCAGGCGGUUCGAUAAGUUGGGGGUGAAAUCCCCGGGCUCAACCCGGGAAUUGCCUUCAAGACUGUCGAGCUAGAGGACGAGAGAGGUGAGUGGAAUUCCCAGUGUAGAGGUGAAAUUCGUAGAUAUCUGGAGGAACACCGGUGGCGAAAGCGGCUCACUGGAUCGAAACUGACGCUGAGGUGCGAAAGCUAGGGUAGCAAACGGG